Molecule: ribosomal RNA, 549 nt
Filed under: uncultured bacterium
Lineage: Bacteria
Description: bacterial SSU rRNA
Rfam family: Bacterial small subunit ribosomal RNA
Source: RNAcentral
UAGGGAAUCUUCGGCAAUGGACGGAAGUCUGACCGAGCAACGCCGCGUGAGUGAAGAAGGUUUUCGGAUCGUAAAGCUCUGUUGUAAGAGAAGAACGAGUGUGAGAGUGGAAAGUUCACACUGUGACGGUAUCUUACCAGAAAGGGACGGCUAACUACGUGCCAGCAGCCGCGGUAAUACGUAGGUCCCGAGCGUUGUCCGGAUUUAUUGGGCGUAAAGCGAGCGCAGGCGGUUAGAUAAGUCUGAAGUUAAAGGCUGUGGCUUAACCAUAGUAGGCUUUGGAAACUGUUUAACUUGAGUGCAAGAGGGGAGAGUGGAAUUCCAUGUGUAGCGGUGAAAUGCGUAGAUAUAUGGAGGAACACCGGUGGCGAAAGCGGCUCUCUGGCUUGUAACUGACGCUGAGGCUCGAAAGCGUGGGGAGCAAACAGGAUUAGAUACCCUGGUAGUCCACGCCGUAACGACGAGUGCUAGGUGUUAGACCCUUUCCGGGGUUUAGUGCCGUAGCUAACGCAUUAAGCACUCCGCCUGGGGGAGUACGACCGCAAGGUU